CUACGGGGGGCUGCAGUGGGGAAUAUUGCACAAUGGGCGCAAGCCUGAUGCAGCAACGCCGCGUGAACGAAGAAGGUUUUCGGAUCGUAAAGUUCUUUUCUUGGGGAAGAAACCAUGACGGUACCCAAGGAAUAAGCACCGGCUAACUACGUGCCAGCAGCCGCGGGAAUACGUAGGGUGCAAGCGUUAUCCGGAAUCACUGGGCGUAAAGGGUGCGUAGGCGGUUGUACAAGUCAGAAGUGAAAGGCAAUGGCUCAACCAUUGUAAGCUUUUGAAACUGUAAGACUUGAAUGCAGGAGAGGUAAGUGGAAUUCCUAGUGUAGCGGUGAAAUGCGUAGAUAUUAGGAGGAACACCAGUGGCGAAGGCGACUUACUGGACUGUUAUUGACGCUGAGGCACGAAAGCGUGGGGAGCGAACAGGAUUAGAUACCCCUGUAGUC
RNAcentral lists this ribosomal RNA (440 nucleotides) under uncultured bacterium. Its description in RNAcentral is "partial 16S ribosomal RNA". It matches the Rfam family "Bacterial small subunit ribosomal RNA", at positions 339 to 795 of the family's 1533-position model. The record is from RNAcentral.